GGACGAUUAGCUCAGUUGGGAGAGCGUCUGCCUUACAAGCAGAAUGUCGGCGGUUCGAGCCCGUCAUCGUCCA
Molecule: transfer RNA, 73 nt
Filed under: Peptococcus niger
Lineage: Bacteria; Bacillati; Bacillota; Clostridia; Eubacteriales; Peptococcaceae
Also listed under: 3 other names
Rfam family: tRNA
About the family: Transfer RNA (tRNA) molecules are approximately 80 nucleotides in length. Their secondary structure includes four short double-helical elements and three loops (D, anti-codon, and T loops).
Source: Rfam by way of RNAcentral